This 213-nucleotide long non-coding RNA is filed under the name Lathyrus oleraceus (garden pea). RNAcentral describes it as "Pisum sativum (pea) long non-coding RNA (PSAT_LNC017309)". The record is from RNAcentral. Lineage: Eukaryota; Viridiplantae; Streptophyta; Magnoliopsida; Fabales; Fabaceae.
UUGAUUGGAUCCAUUCUGGAUAUCAACCAAGUCGUAUGAUUUAUCAUAUACUGGCGUAAGCGCUUAGCAGCCCAAGCCAAAGCACAACAUGUCUUUUCAAGCAUUGAGUAUCGAGACUCGAAAUCAGUGAACUUCUUACUCAGGUAGUAAAUAGCAUACACCUUCUUCCCUGAUUCGUCUUGCUGACCAAGGACACAACCCAUCGAGUCUUUA